RNAcentral lists this long non-coding RNA (2169 nucleotides) under Pan troglodytes (chimpanzee). Its description in RNAcentral is "long non-coding RNA NONPTRT011998". The record is from RNAcentral. Lineage: Eukaryota; Metazoa; Chordata; Mammalia; Primates; Hominidae.
CUUCAAAAAAUUAUUAGUCCCAUACCAGCCCACCAAAUAACACAUCAGCAUGCUUUCUUCCGUUGUGUCUUUUAAAGACACAUUGUGCCUUACAAAACUGCCAAGACUUAUAGAAAACCAAAGUGCAGUAGGAGGCAAUGUACCUGUUGUUUUGUACAUUUGGGAAUCUGCCUUAUUUUUGCCAAGGGAGAAAACCAGGACAUCUACUGCCUUUCAAAAGAAUGAAUUUUCUGAGGAAGUAACACAGCUCAUGGAGAAAAAUGUGUACAAGUUCUUGAUUUCUCUAGAUUUUCUACCAUAUAACAAGCACAUUUAAUGAUAAAAAUGAUAGUUUGACCAAUAUAUAAAAUGUAAGCUUAACAAGAGAGCUAGGGCAUAGGCUAUUCAAAAUACUGUUUAUAAAGAUUUUCAUGCUGUCAUGAAACCAUUCUUAUGACUGAUUUCAACAGUGGCAUGCUUAUAUGAGUUUUAAAGAUUCAUUAAAAGCCUGGUAAAUAUAAUAUGCAAGUUAUCUUAUGAGAUGAAAAGGUGAUAGGAUGAUGACAUAACAAUGUUCUAAAGCAGAAUGAAUUUUCUUCUGAAGGAGCUGUUAUAGUAUCUAGCAUGAUGUCUAGAACAUAAUCAAAAGGUCUUUGUUCAAUCAAUUUCAUUAAUGUUUAGGUAAACUCCUUUUGGGAGAAUGAGAACAAUUUCUCAGGGCAGGAAUUAGGUAUUAUAGCAGUAAGAUAUCUCUUUUCUCAUUGUGCUUCUUUGAGGGACCGAGAGAGCUGGCCUUUAUGAUCUACAAUGUGCACAUUCUAGAUCAAGGUUCACUUUUUGUGGCUCAAUGGGUGAGAGACAGCUCUAAAACCUGGAAGCAAUGUCACAGGGCAUCUUAAGGAUUUUUAAAAGUAGCAAAAGUUAUGAGCUGCCAUAAUGCAAUCAACCCAUGGGAAAGAGCAGGCAAUCACUCACUGAGAGAUGAUAGAUUACGUCUUAGUAAAGCACAAUUGAGUGAGAGACACUAUAUUUUCACGAGAGAAGAUUAUGAGAAGUUGAUUUUUUAGAAUUAUUUUUUAAAACACAGUGUAAUACAUGUCAAAACUUUGGUAAUACUUUAUACUUAUCAUAAAAAGCUAUCACAUUCAUUCAAUUUUGAAUUCAAUUUACAUUCAAUGUUUGUGAAUAUAAUGUAUAUACAUGCAUAAGUUUGUGUACAGACGUGUGUGUAUGCAUGUGUGUAUAUAUGUGACAUAUAUACACAUACAUGAUCUGUGUUUAUAUAUACACACAUAUACAAUAAAUGUAUAAAUGUAUAUAUGUGCCAAAUUGGCUAAUAUAUAUACACACAUGUAUAUAUAAUAAAUAUAUAAAUGUAUAUAUGUGUCAAAUUGGCUGAAGAUUAUAUGAAAAUUAGAUUAUAUUUUAUUAUAAUAAUUUUAUUGAAUUGCAGACUGAAUUGUACCCCUCACCUCCAAAUUUACAUAUUGAAGCCAUAACCUGCAAAAUGACUGUAUUUGGAGACAGAGGAAAUUAAAGUUAAAUAAGUAAAAAAAGAAAGGUGGGACCCUGAUCCAAUAGGGCAAGUGUCUUUAUAAGAAAAGAAAGAGACACAGAAGUGACACACACGGAGGAUGAACCAUAUGAGGACACAGUGGGAAGAAUCUGCAAGCCUUAGGGAGAGGCUUCAGGAGAAGCUAAAGCUGCUGACACAUUGAUCUUGUACUUCCAGCCUCCAGAACUAUAGAAAAGUAAAUUCUGUUGUUUAAGUUAUCCAGUACAUGGUAUUUUCUUAUGGGAACCCUAGUAGAUGAACACAGUUUCCAUUGCAAUAAAUGCCUUUUGCAAAUGCUUGAUAACUUUAUGAUAAUAGAGGGAAAUGAUAAAUGAGAUUAAUCUUUACAUUUCAGUGUGAGAGUUUGUACUAGAGUACAGAGGAGGACUCUGAAACCAAGUCUCAGUUCAGGAAAACUGUGCCGUAAAUGUUGAUUACAUAUCCACUGGCAUGAAAGUUGUGGAUGUCAGCACAGACGAGCAUAUUUGUUAUAUCUAACUUAUUUUAUAGUCAAUAUGUUUUAAGUAGUCUCAAAUCUAAAAUGCCAAGUAUCUGUUUGUCCUUAAGGAUGUCAAUGAAAUAUUGUAUGUUUAUCUACUGAAUUUUGUGUUCCACAAGGCUCUAAAAUAGAGCCC